GCACUCGCGGCCCCUAACCUGCCCCGGGAGCCCGGGAGUGCGGCUUGGGAAGGAGGGAAAGGAGUGUGUGAGCAGGGAUUGGCCCGAACCUAUCUCCACGCUCUCCCCCGGGACUGGAGGUGAAGGGGGGCGUGGAGAAAAUCUCAGGGAACAGGGGCUUCGACAGGGGGCUCCCGCCCGCCCGAGCCCCCUCCCCAAAAUGCGAGGCCUGCACAGUAUGCCUUCUCCGCAAAACCUCGGCAAGCGGGUUAGUGAAUUCAGGUCACUAAGAAGCUGAGCCCGCGGAAAGCUGCCCAAACACCCCCUUCUCUAGGGGACUCCCCACGCCCCCCGCCGGGACGCGUUCCCGAAGUCGCCGCCUGGACUGCAACCGCGUGGCCUGCGCCGCGUCCUCUUCUCCGCAGCCUCCGAGGCCCGUGCGACCAAGCUGAAACCGCUUAUUCUCCGGAGCCCCUAUGACCCCGGGUGGGGGCCAGGGCUCGCCUCGAUCGCAGCCCGUGCGCCCUCCGGACUCCAGUUCGCCGGGACUGGGCGACACCAGAAGCGGCUAGUGUGAGUGAAACAAACGGGAAAUUUGCUCUGGCCCGCCUGCCCAGCCACCCACGGCUGCCUGUUGGCCAAUCACCAUUUGACCAGUCCAGGAAGAGCAACUGUGGCAGGCCUGAUUUCCUGGGAGGCCCCAGACUCCCUUUGCCUACCUCUUCCUCUCUGACCCCAUCCUCGCUUUGAUGCCCGGGACCUGCUACCCAGUGCAUUGAGAGAUGACAGUAGCUCGGCCUCUUAGAGCAGUAUGACGAUGGCACAAGUUACUAUUUGCCAAGCACAGAGCAUGACGUCAUGCCCAGAAGCCCAGGAUACAAUCCAGAGACAAUGACAAAUGGGGGAUUCCCGCUUCUGCAGAAGGUGGGGCGACUGGUGCCCAGGGGCCCCCAGGAAGUGCCCUUACCUGACUCCCAGGAUCCUCCUCUGUGACCCUGGGGCCUUCCAACCUGCCAGGUACUUUUCCUGUAUUAUCUUAUUUUAUCCUCCCAAUAGCCUCUGUGAGCAGCACACUCCCCAUUUCACAGACAAGGAAACUGAGGCUUACACAAGUGAAGUGACCUGCUCGACGUUGCACAAGGAAGUGGCAAAGUCAGCCUCUGAAUCCAAGCCGUUGGGCUCUAAAGGCCCUGAUGCCACUCAGCUAACCAUGUGGCCUCUGGACAUCACUGCCAUCUUUUCUCUUACCCUCCUCUCCUCCUUGCACUGUGUUCUGAGGGUCAGCCUGACAACCCGUGUCCCCUGGGCAGAUGUGCAGAGGAAGAUCAAGUUGUUGUUCGCCAGGGGCCGAGGGCAAAUUUCUGGCUUCCCACGGCCACCACUUACUGGGAGUUUCGGAUGAGGUGCUUCACUGCCCUGAGCUCUUCUUCCGGGUCAAGUGGGGAUAAAAAUAAAACAAUACCCACCUUGUGGGAAGACAUGGGAUCCUGAAAAACCUGGCAACGUGCCUGGCACAUGGCAAGUACUCCGUAAAUGUCAGCUAGGAUUAUUUUUAUCAUUGACACCAUAUUUGGGGGCCCCAGGCUGGCAGAGUACCUGCCAGGUGUCACCCCCUUCCUGAGUCCUGACAGUUUGGCUGCAGGCCUGCGUGGAGGCUUGGAAGGAAGAAGGGAGGAAAGGAGGAAAGGAGGAAAGGAGGAAGGGGUCAGGGAAGCCCCUCUGUUUGUUUUCUGUCUCUGAGAACUUCCCAGUCUGACUCUAGCCCCUUCCCCUCCCUGCAGGCACUAACACACAAGUCCCCCAUUCACCAGAAAUCUGUCCCAGGCUCCCUGGCUGCCAUGCUCCCUGGAUAAACCCACCAGGAUGCCCUCAGCCCCUGAGGGAAGAGGAGAGAGCUUACACUCCUCCGGGCCCCUAUUUCCACGCCCAUCACCAGGCCUGGGCCCUCACAAGGCUACACACACACCAGGAAGUGCCAGGAACACAGCCACGCCAGAGCUCUCACAGAUGCCUGUGCACACACACACACACACACACACACCUUUCCAGGCAAACUUGCAUACACUUUCCUAAUGGCCAGGUCUCAGGGGCUCUGUAGGGACCACCUCGGGACAGGACAUGGUCUUCCCUCCCCCAUUCCCAUUCCCCUUCCUGCCCUGUUUCCCUCUGUCUGUCCAUCCAUCUUCAUCAACCAGUCCCAGUGGGCCCCUGCUCACUCCCUCCGUUCCCCCUCCAUCCGUCCGUCCACACAUGGGUCCAUCUGUCUGUCGCCUGCCUGUAGCUAGCCCUGCAGUGAGCAGUCUAUCCCUACCCAGCCCUGCCCAUCACUUCUGCCACAACACCCCUGCAAGAUCCUGUCCCUGUCCUCAGCAGGGUCUCUCAUCAUUUCUCUAGAACCCACCCAUCUAUCCCCCCACCCCUUCAGCUGUGUCCUUCAUCUGUCAAUCUGUCCAUCCAUCCAGCCAUCCAUCCAUCCAUCCAUCCAUCCAUCCAUCCAUCCAGCCAUCCAUCCAUCCAUCCAGCCAUCCAUCCAUCCAUCCAGCCAUCCAUCCUUCCUUCCUUCCUUCUUCCUUCCUUCCCACCUUGGCCCAGCCCCUCUCAGCCCCCUCUGCAUCCCAUCCAUCACUUCUCAGACAGGCCUCCCCAGCCAGGUAGUCACCUCCUAGCGGCUCCAUCUGUCUGUCUGUCUACCAACCCAUCCAUCCAUCUGUCUGCCAGCCCAUCCAUCAUGCCACAGGCCACUUGUCCAUUCUUGCCACCUUUCACAUGUUCCCUAGUUAGGCCCCUGUGGUAUCCCCCAGCCAGCGCAGUGUAGGUGGGGGGCGUGUGUUCAUGUCAGUAGAUAUGUCUGUGGCCGCCAGCAUGCCUUGUGCUGAGCAGAGGGCAAGGGACCUGGAUGAGGAGCUGGGGAGGGGUUGGGGACAGGAAGACUGGGAACCUCUUGGUGGGGGGCACAGCAGCUUCCCUGUGUAUUCUCCCUGUGGUCUGUUGCACCAUAGGCAUCAAUGGCCUGCUCAAAAAUAAAUACACGACUGGAAAACUC
Long non-coding RNA from Homo sapiens (human), 3022 nucleotides. RefSeq annotates it as EPHA2 antisense RNA 1. Lineage: Eukaryota; Metazoa; Chordata; Mammalia; Primates; Hominidae. The record is from RefSeq and is marked validated. The transcript has 3 exons.